Molecule: ribosomal RNA, 464 nt
Filed under: uncultured bacterium
Lineage: Bacteria
Description: bacterial SSU rRNA
Rfam family: Bacterial small subunit ribosomal RNA
Source: RNAcentral
CCAGACUCCUACGGGAGGCAGCAGUGAGGAAUAUUGGUCAAUGGCCGCAGGGCUGAACCAGCCAAGUCGCGUGAGGGAUGACGGCCCUACGGGUUGUAAACUUCUUUUGUCAGGGAGCAAUUGGGUCCACGCGUGGGCUUAGCGAGAGUACCUGAAGAAAAAGCAUCGGCUAACCCCGUGCCAGCAGCCGCGGUAAUACGGAGGAUGCGAGCGUUAUCCGGAUUUAUUGGGUUUAAAGGGUGCGUAGGCGGGCAUUUAAGCCGGCGGUCAAAUGUCGGGGCUCAACCCCGGCCUGCCGUCGGAACUGGGUGCCUUGAGUGCGGCGGAGGCAUGCGGAAUGCGCGGUGUAGCGGUGAAAUGCAUAGAUAUCGCGCAGAACCCCGAUUGCGAAGGCAGCGUGCCGUGCCGCCACUGACGCUGAGGCACGAAAGCGCGGGGAUCGAACAGGAUUAGAUACCCCUGUA